AUUGAACGCUGGCGGCAGGCCUAACACAUGCAAGUCGAGCGGAUGAAGGGAGCUUGCUCCUGGAUUCAGCGGCGGACGGGUGAGUAAUGCCUAGGAAUCUGCCUGGUAGUGGGGGAUGACGUCCGGAAACGGGCGCUAAUACCGCAUACGUCCUGAGGGUGAAAGUGGGGGAUCUUCGGACCUCACGCUAUCAGAUGAGCCUAGGUCGGAUUAGCUAGUUGGUGGGGUAAAGGCCUACCAAGGCGACGAUCCGUAACUGGUCUGAGAGGAUGAUCAGUCAUACUGGAACUGCGACACGGUCCAGACUCCUACGGGAGGCAGCAGUGGGGAAUAUUGGACAAGGGGCGAAAGCCUGAUCCAGCCAUGCCGUGUGUGAAGAAGGUCUUCGGAUUGUAAAGCACUUUAAGUUGGGAGGAAGGGCAGUAAGUUAAUACCUUGCUGUUUUGACGUUACCAACAGAAUAAGCACCGGCUAACUUCGUG
RNAcentral lists this ribosomal RNA (482 nucleotides) under uncultured bacterium. Its description in RNAcentral is "partial 16S ribosomal RNA". It matches the Rfam family "Bacterial small subunit ribosomal RNA", at positions 30 to 507 of the family's 1533-position model. The record is from RNAcentral.